UACAGAGGGGGCAAGCGUUGUUCGGAAUUACUGGGCGUAAAGGGCGCGUAGGCGGCCGCCUAAGUCAGACGUGAAAUCCCUCGGCUCAACCGGGGAACUGCGUCUGAUACUGGGUGGCUUGAAUCCGGGAGAGGGAUGCGGAAUUCCAGGUGUAGCGGUGAAAUGCGUAGAUAUCUGGAGGAAUACCGGUGGCGAAGGCGGCAUCCUGGACCAUAACUGACGCUGAGGCGCGAAAGCUAGGGGAGCAAACGGG
This 253-nucleotide ribosomal RNA is filed under the name uncultured bacterium. Its description in RNAcentral is "partial 16S ribosomal RNA". It matches the Rfam family "Bacterial small subunit ribosomal RNA", at positions 524 to 776 of the family's 1533-position model. The record is from RNAcentral.